RNAcentral lists this long non-coding RNA (1136 nucleotides) under Olea europaea subsp. europaea. Lineage: Eukaryota; Viridiplantae; Streptophyta; Magnoliopsida; Lamiales; Oleaceae. The record is from RNAcentral.
GGAACAAGUUGGCAAAUUAAAGUUAAGCAUAUGACACUUGCUACCACUGUGUUUGGAUGGCAAGGAAUAAAAAUGUUUUUGAAAAUCUUAGGCAGCAAGUGGAUUCUAUUGUAAGAAGGAUUAAAAUGCACGUAUACAAAGCUAUGCUUAUAGUUCGUAUCCGAAUGUUUUGACCCGAUUUGAAUCUUUUUGUGGGUCAUUAGACGAUCGUUAGUACAUCUUUAUUUUAUUUACUCGGGUAUGCUUGAAGUAUUUUUAUUUUUUACAUGAUCUUCGAUUGCCGAUAUACUUAUAAAUGAGUUCUGAUCUAUUAAAUUUUACAUUUGCGGAUAAAUAAAUAAAUAAAAAUUGUAGCAUUGCUUGACGCGCGUGACUCACACCAUAAUGCACUAGGAACACGAAUUGGAGUACAAUCUUCACUUUUCUUGAUUCAAAAGAAAAUUUUGGUGAUUCAUGGAGACGUUCAUGAAAUUUCGUUCUGGGAUUUUUCUAAAAUCGGCGGCUGUUUCUUCUAUUGAAUUUUCCUUGCCUUUUUCCUCACUUACUUAUUCAUCUGUUUUCCGCUCCGAUUCCGGGAGGAAUUUUAUUUCCAUGAAAAAUGAAAUUCCGCGGAAUUUGAAUUUCCAGGGAAAGUCCCGUGAUUUUUCAAUUGUUCGUGGUUCUAAAGAUCGCCAUGCCCAUGAAGAUUCUUCACUUCAGGUAUUCCCAUCGCUCUGUUUUCAUUCCGCCCAUGUUUGGCUAAGCUUAAAUUUACUUAUAAGUAGAUAAUUAAGUAAUAAAAUAAAUAACUAUUAGACAGUUAAAGUUAAAAAUAACCAACUUUUUUACUUUAUACCUUAUCUCCAUGACUGUGGCUCUUAUAAUUGGAUAAUAUAAAUUUUGCAUAAGUGGAGAGGGAUUUCAGGGUUUUGCAGGGUCCAUUCUUGGUUAUUUUUUGUAGCAAAAUAUGAUAACAUCAUUUUUAUCAAUUUAUAUGAAGGUGAGAACCUGCUUUAAAUCUAUUUCGGUUUUUUUAUAUUGAUUUUGCGGCUAAACUCGAAUUUGAAUUAUUAGAAAAAUAUUGAGAAAUAUUUGAAUUUGAAUUCGAUCUAUAAUUGUUAUUUGUUGAUAGAAACUCAACAAUCGGUAUACCAAUG